This 299-nucleotide ribosomal RNA is filed under the name uncultured bacterium. RNAcentral's name for it is "partial 16S ribosomal RNA". It matches the Rfam family "Bacterial small subunit ribosomal RNA", at positions 475 to 776 of the family's 1533-position model. The record is from RNAcentral.
CUAUGCGCCUUGCCAGCCCGCUCAGGUGUGCCAGCAGCCGCGGUAAUACGUAGGUGGCGAGCGUUGUCCGGAUUUACUGGGCGUAAAGGGAGCGUAGGCGGACUUUUAAGUGAGAUGUGAAAUACUCGGGCUCAACUUGAGUGCUGCAUUUCAAACUGUAAGUCUAGAGUGCAGGAGAGGAGAAUGGAAUUCCUAGUGUAGCGGUGAAAUGCGUAGAGAUUAGGAAGAACACCAGUGGCGAAGGCGAUUCUCUGGACUGUAACUGACGCUGAGGCUCGAAAGCGUGGGGAGCAAACAGG